ACGCUGGCGGCGCGCCUAACACAUGCAAGUCGAACGAGAGAUGAGGAGCUUGCUCUUCAAAUCGAGUGGCGAACGGGUGAGUAACGCGUGAGGAACCUGCCUCAAAGAGGGGGGACAACAGUUGGAAACGACUGCUAAUACCGCAUAAGCCCACGACCCGGCAUCGGGAAGAGGGAAAAGGAGCAAUCCGCUUUGAGAUGGCCUCGCGUCCGAUUAGCUAGUUGGUGAGGUAACGGCCCACCAAGGCGACGAUCGGUAGCCGGACUGAGAGGUUGAACGGCCACAUUGGGACUGAGACACGGCCCAGACUCCUACGGGAGGCAGCAGUGGGGAAUAUUGCACAAUGGGGGAAACCCUGAUGCAGCGACGCCGCGUGGAGGAAGAAGGUCUUCGGAUUGUAAACUCCUGUUGUUGAGGAAGAUAAUGACGGUACUCAACAAGGAAGUGACGGCUAACUACGUG
RNAcentral lists this ribosomal RNA (462 nucleotides) under uncultured bacterium. RNAcentral's name for it is "bacterial SSU rRNA". It matches the Rfam family "Bacterial small subunit ribosomal RNA", at positions 33 to 507 of the family's 1533-position model. The record is from RNAcentral.